CAAAGGCAUGGUCCUGACCUUAUUAUCAGCUCUUACCCGACUUACACAUGCAAGUCUCCGCAAUCCCGUGAGUAUGCCCUCAAUCCCCUGCCCGGGGACGAGGAGCGGGCAUCAGGCACAAAUUUUAGCCCAAGACGCCUGGCCAAGCCACACCCCCAAGGGAAUUCAGCAGUGAUAAACAUUAAGCCAUAAGUGAAAACUUGACUCAGUCAAGGUAAAGAGGGCCGGUAAAACUCGUGCCAGCCACCGCGGUUAAACGAGAGGCCCUAGUUGAUAAAACCACGGCGUAAAGGGUGGUUAAGGAAAGCAAAACAAAUUUAAAGCCAAAUGGCCCUUUGGCCGUCAUACGCUUCUAGGUGUCCGAAGCCCAAUUAUACGAAAGUAGCUUUAUAAAGCCCACC
This 401-nucleotide ribosomal RNA is filed under the name Hypophthalmichthys molitrix (silver carp). RNAcentral describes it as "partial 12S ribosomal RNA". Lineage: Eukaryota; Metazoa; Chordata; Actinopteri; Cypriniformes; Xenocyprididae. The record is from RNAcentral.